This 2090-nucleotide long non-coding RNA is filed under the name Mus musculus (house mouse). RNAcentral's name for it is "RIKEN cDNA E330013P04 gene (E330013P04Rik)". Lineage: Eukaryota; Metazoa; Chordata; Mammalia; Rodentia; Muridae. The record is from RNAcentral.
CCACCGAAGAACGCAUGCACAGUGUUUCCCAAAAGCCCUGUAUCCUUGGGAGCAACCAAGAUGUAAUCGGUCAGAGAAAUGGUUUCUUCCUGGAUCCAUGUGAGUUAAACUGUUGUGGGACUGGAGACACUCGCGCCUGCAGAGUUGUGGUGACAAGCAAGCCCUCCUCUUUGCUCCCUGUCUGAAGUCUGCAUAUUCCAUGAAUCCUUGAGGGAGCCUGAUUCUUAUAAGGCAGGGGUCACUAAAGGAACCACAACAGUGUCUCCCUUGGAGAAAAGGAAAGGAAAUCACCACCGUUUAAGAACGCCACAGAAUUCAUUCCCUUCAGAUACUGUCCGUGUGUGAGUUACACGUGCCAACUGCCAGGUAUUAGUUGUUUUUCCAGGCCCCAUUAAGGACUCUUCAUCCUGUCCAGCAAGAGGCAUUAAAGCUUUCACGAGUUAAAGUUGUUCCCAGCUCGGUGUUAUUCAAAGGCAAUUUACACUAAUUAUUCGAGUCCACAGCGUUACCCAUAUUAGCAGAACGAACCAUCUCAGCAGGAAGCUUCAAUAGCGACCCCUCCUGGCGACCCAAGCAGCUUACAUGGUACGAAACAGCGACUCCUCUUGGUGACCUGAACAGUUAACAAGAUACUAACUGCACUCGGCCAAAAAUGAGUGCGACUUUCAUUUCCUCCUUUCAUCCAGGCGCUCUACAAGCAUUCUUAUACAGUUGUAUACGCUCAUGCUCUGCCCUCCAGCCGCUCAAACGAUGAAGGUUAUCAAGGUGAAAAACAUCUAUUGAGAUGGAUGGAGAGGAGAGUGGGGCCCACCAGGAAGUGAGGUCGCAACUGACCAAACAAGCACGGUAAAAUAUUCACAAAGAUAAAUUAAAAAAAAAAAUCACAAAGCAUGGGGAAAGAGAACCGAAGGUUGAAAAAUAGCAAAUGUAAAAAGACCCCACGGCACACAAUAACAUCACACAUUCUGGGACCUGGAAAUUAAGUGGAAUAUCCCAGCAGUCCACAGCUGUCCACCCUGACAAGAUAAUAAAGGGGAGGGAGGCUAGAGAUAACACAGAGACUUAUCUCCAUUCAUAUGUCCUGGAAAUAUCGUGGACCCUGCAUUUUUGAGGCCUCCAAACUCUUUGAUCACCUAUCCGCACACACCCCUCACAAAGGUUUGAUCAUCACCUUCCUAUCUAGCUAUUAUGUGUUCCUCUGUUUCAAGCUAUGUAGUGCUACCCAGUAUUACUUGCUGUGCUCCCCAAAUGUUGGUUCUAAUAUUUCUCCCAUGCCAACGGAAUGUUGACCAUGUCAAAUGCCACCAAGUUGAUGGGGUCCAAGGACAUCCCCGUAUACCAUUACUGUCCAUCUCUGCAAGACUUAUAUUCCUCCAUCUCCUCUUGCCACCAGAGGCCUGACCACUCUCUAAGGGUCCUGACCCAGUCAGAACAAAACCAAAUGAGGUCCAAAGCAAUUCCAGCCAGCGGGACAGCCUGUCCUGUAUGUCCUCUGCCCACAGGGAACCUGGGUCUGUAUCCCAGAAUAUCUCUUCCCGUCUCUUUUGAGUUGAAUGCAUUUGUGAACCACUGCCAAGAUCCCCAAGAGUAUCCAUAAAUUCUAGAACCUAGAAUAUAGCUAGAUAUACAACAAGUCCCUAUGGGUUAACAUGUAGGUCAAUUAACAUAUGAUAUAACCAAAAUGAAUUCUGGUAGAAAUAAAAAUGUGAAAGUUAAAAUAAAGUCAGAAUCUAAUUAGUACUUUUCGUCGUCUUUUUUAGUUGACAACUUUUAGUUGUAUACUAAGCGUUCCUUACUUAAUGAAGUCCCCCAAAUAAAAUGUUUACACACACACACACAACUGUACUUCACUUUGCCUAUUACCUAUGCUAUCCCUGAAUGAUAUUAGCAUCCCAUAAUAGACUUCUGAAAGGUACUGCUAGAAAUCAAGAGUGACUUCUCUCUUCUGAAACUUUGCUCUGCACUAGAAUUGGUAUGAGGUCAUUGAAAGGAAUGUAUCCCUUUGGAAUCUGUAGAUGGCUAACAGAAUAGGAUGUCUUAUGCUGCAAUAAAUGAACAUGUGCACACCCAAAAAAAAAAAAAAAAAAAAA